Phrynosoma platyrhinos (Desert horned lizard) is the source of this 72-nucleotide non-coding RNA. The record is from the annotation of a GenBank genome assembly. NCBI's taxonomy places the organism in Eukaryota, Metazoa, Chordata, Lepidosauria, Squamata, Phrynosomatidae.
GCCAGUGUGGUGUAGUGGUUUGAGUGCUGGACUAUAACUCUGGAGACCAGGGUUCGAUUCCCAAUUCGGCCA